This 253-nucleotide ribosomal RNA is filed under the name uncultured bacterium. RNAcentral describes it as "partial 16S ribosomal RNA". It matches the Rfam family "Bacterial small subunit ribosomal RNA", at positions 524 to 776 of the family's 1533-position model. The record is from RNAcentral.
UACGUAGGGGGCAAGCGUUGUCCGGAAUCAUUGGGCGUAAAGCGCGCGUAGGCGGCCCGGUAAGUCCGUUGUAAAAGUCGAAGGCUCAACCUUCGAAAGCCGAUGGAUACUGCCGGGCUAGAGUCCGGAAGAGGAGAGUGGAAUUCCCGGUGUAGCGGUGAAAUGCGCAGAUAUCGGGAAGAACACCUAUGGCGAAGGCAGCUCUCUGGGACGGUACUGACGCUGAGACGCGAAAGCGUGGGGAGCGAACCGG